GACGAACCGCCCGAACGUUGUUCGGAUUCACUGGGCGUAAAGGGCGCGUAGGCGGCAAUUCAAGUCAGUUGUGAAAUCUCCGAGCUUAACUCGGAACGGUCAACUGAUACUGCUUUGCUAGAGUACAGAAGGGGCAAUCGGAAUUCUUGGUGUAGCGGUGAAAUGCGUAGAUAUCAAGAGGAACACCUGAGGUGAAGACGGGUUGCUGGGCUGAUACUGACGCUGAGGCGCGAAAGCCAGGGGAGCGAACGGG
Molecule: ribosomal RNA, 253 nt
Filed under: uncultured bacterium
Lineage: Bacteria
Description: partial 16S ribosomal RNA
Rfam family: Bacterial small subunit ribosomal RNA
Source: RNAcentral